GAGCUGAAAUCAGUCGAAGAUACCAGCUGGCUGCAACUGUUUAUUAAAAACACAGCACUGUGCAAACACGAAAGUGGACGUAUACGGUGUGACGCCUGCCCGGUGCCGGAAGGUUAAUUGAUGGGGUUAUCCGUAAGGAGAAGCUCUUGAUCGAAGCCCCGGUAAACGGCGGCCGUAACUAUAACGGUCCUAAGGUAGCGAAAUUCCUUGUCGGGUAAGUUCCGACCUGCACGAAUGGCGUAAUGAUGGCCAGGCUGUCUCCACCCGAGACUCAGUGAAAUUGAACUCGCUGUGAAGAUGCAGUGUACCCGCGGCAAGACGGAAAGACCCCGUGAACCUUUACUAUAGCUUGACACUGAACAUUGGUCCUUGAUGUGCAGGAUAGGUGGGAGGCUUUGAAGCGCGGACGCCAGUUCGUGUGGAGCCAUCCUUGAAAUACCACCCUUUAAUGGCUGGUGUUCUAACGUAGACCCGUGAUCCGGGUUGCGGACAGUGUCUGGUGGGUAGUUUGACUGGGGCGGUCUCCUCCUAAAGAGUAACGGAGGAGCACGAAGGUUAGCUAAUCCUGGUCGGACAUCAGGAGGUUAGUGCAAAGGCAUAAGCUAGCUUGACUGCGAGCGUGACGGCGCGAGCAGGUGCGAAAGCAGGUCUUAGUGAUCCGGUGGUUCUGAAUGGAAGGGCCAUCGCUCAACGGAUAAAAGGUACUCCGGGGAUAACAGGCUGAUACCGCCCAAGAGUUCAUAUCGACGGCGGUGUUUGGCACCUCGAUGUCGGCUCA
Molecule: ribosomal RNA, 778 nt
Filed under: Salmonella sp. 32040203-2019-00159
Lineage: Bacteria; Pseudomonadati; Pseudomonadota; Gammaproteobacteria; Enterobacterales; Enterobacteriaceae
Description: partial 23S ribosomal RNA
Rfam family: Bacterial large subunit ribosomal RNA
Source: RNAcentral